Molecule: long non-coding RNA, 774 nt
Filed under: Malus domestica (apple)
Lineage: Eukaryota; Viridiplantae; Streptophyta; Magnoliopsida; Rosales; Rosaceae
Description: long non-coding RNA (MDOM_LNC000179)
Source: RNAcentral
UGAGUGAUGCUCAUGAAUGUUUAUGUAUGAUUGAUAUGAGUGAUGCUCAUGAAUGUUUAUGUAUGAUUGAUAUGAGUAAUGCUCAUGUAUAAUAUGAAGUACUAGGCGUACUUUUGAUCACCUGGUUGGUCGUAUGAAUGGUUGGUUGCCAAAUUAGAGUACGGGUUGUACAUCUCAUCACCUGGUUGGUGGUAAUAGCGGCAGGUUGCCGAAUAAUUUUGGAGUACUGGGCGUACUUUUGGUCACCUGGUUGGUGGUAAUAACGGCGGGUUGCAGAAUAAUUGUGGAGUACUGGGCGUACUUUUGAUGACCUGGUUGGUGCUAUUUUGGGCUUAUGGGCCUUCGCCCUCUACACAACAUUCUAGCCCAUUUAUUUUGGGCUUUUAGCCCAUUAUUUUGGGCCUUUAUUUUUUUUUUUUAACCCUCUGAUGGGGUUUAUACAAAUGUCUCCGAAAGAUAAUAAAAAUAAAUUACAUCAUUUGGGUGGGGUAUUUAUUCCUUACUUUUGCAGUGUUUUUCUGCUACUUUCUGAAAUAUUCUCCUAACGCCAUGAUCUUUUUUUCUUUUUGAUUUGCUUUUCCUUUUCUGAUCAAGUACCUAACAGCUUGAAAUAUAUUGUAAUCAAGUGACCAGGGAGUAGGACUAGUGGAUCCCUCUCUUCUGUUUUUCUUUUCCUUUUGGCUUAUGGCAGACAACACAAAGGAGAAUAAUAAUAGGAAUUUUGUAAGAAAACUUAUCUUCUUCCUGUUUUCCAUCACACCUCUACCUCUGUCU